AACGCACAUUGCGCCCACCAGUAUUCUGAUGGGCAUGCCUGUUCGAGCGUCAUUUCAACCCUCAAGCCCCGGCUUGGUGUUGGGGCUCUGCGCCUGCAGGCCCUCAAAUCCAGUGGCGGACACGCCAGGUCUCCGAGCGCAGUAGUUUCUCCUCGCUCAGGCGUCCGGCGUGCGCUUGCCUCGCACCCAUCUCAUCAAAAGGUUGACCUCGGAUCAGGUAGGAAUACCCGCUGAACUUAA
RNAcentral lists this unclassified non-coding RNA (240 nucleotides) under uncultured fungus. RNAcentral describes it as "partial contains 5.8S ribosomal RNA, internal transcribed spacer 2, and large subunit ribosomal RNA". The record is from RNAcentral. Lineage: Eukaryota; Fungi.